GUGGGGAAUAUUGCACAAUGGGGGAAACCCUGAUGCAGCGACGCCGCGUGGAGGAAGAAGGCCUUCGGGUUGUAAACUCCUGUCGUAAGGGACGAUAGUGACGGUACCUUACAAGAAAGCCACGGCUAACUACGUGCCAGCAGCCGCGGUAAAACGUAGGUGGCAAGCGUUGUCCGGAAUUACUGGGUGUAAAGGGAGCGCAGGCGGGUCUGCAAGUUGGAAGUGAAACCCAUGGGCUCAACCCAUGAACUGCUUUCAAAACUGCGGAUCUUGAGUGGUGUAGAGGUAGGCGGAAUUCCCGGUGUAGCGGUGGAAUGCGUAGAUAUCGGGAGGAACACCAGUGGCGAAGGCGGCCUACUGGGCACUAACUGACGCUGAGGCUCGAAAGCAUGGGUAGCAAACAGGAUUAGAAACCCUAGUAGUCCC
Molecule: ribosomal RNA, 426 nt
Filed under: uncultured bacterium
Lineage: Bacteria
Description: bacterial SSU rRNA
Rfam family: Bacterial small subunit ribosomal RNA
Source: RNAcentral